RNAcentral lists this ribosomal RNA (271 nucleotides) under uncultured bacterium. RNAcentral's name for it is "partial 16S ribosomal RNA". It matches the Rfam family "Bacterial small subunit ribosomal RNA", at positions 524 to 794 of the family's 1533-position model. The record is from RNAcentral.
UACGAAGGGUGCAAGCGUUAAUCGGAAUUACUGGGCGUAAAGCGCACGUAGGCGGGCCCACAAGUCGGUUGUGAAAUCCUGGGGCUUAACCCCAGAACUGCGGCCGAUACUAUGGGCCUUGAGGGUGAGAGGGGAGAGUGGAACUUCUGGUGGAGCGGUGAAAUGCGUAGAUAUCAGAAGGAACACCGGUGGCGAAAGCGACUCUCUGGUUCACUACUGACGCUGAGGUGCGAAAGCUAGGGGAGCAAACGGGAUUAGAUACCCUAGUAGU